UUCUCCUCCAGCAUCUUAUCCUCUCCACCACUCAUUGCCCUCACUCUCCUCUCUCUCUCUCUCAUUUCCCUCUGGCUACCUCCCCUCCCCUCCCAGAUCUGGCGGAGGGGAGGGGCGUCGGCAGUGGCGCAGGAAGAGGGGGCGGUGGCGGUAGCGUCGGCGUUGGCGCGGCCGGAUGGGAGGUGUGGCUCCCCUCCCUCUCCUCUCCCUCAACUCUACUCUCCUCCGCCGCCGGCCACGAUGACGACGAAGCCGACUGCGACGACGACGCUGUCUGGAUCCGCCGCCGCCUGGAUUCAGGGAGGGGAGGCGGCAGCGCAGCCGGAGGGGGUGUCGGCGGCGGCGCUGCCGAACAGGAGUUGCAGAAUCAGAUUGACCCGCACGUCCACAUCUCAUCAAUAUUUUGGACCUGCACUGGAGUAAGCAGAUCAACCAGGCCGUUGUGUUCGUCGACUUAGUCCGUGCCAACACAAAUCUGGUACCAUCGGCCGAGCACGGAUUUUGCGUCAAUAGUUUUUGAAGAUUUGGGGUACAGCAAUAAAGUGUGUGUUCUACUAAAUUCAACCAAGUUGAGUUUUCCAUUUUUAGACCUAGUAUCAAUUUCAUCAACGAUCAAUGAGCAGUACGGGGCCUAAACUCGUCACAAAUGUCAAGGAUACAUCAUUGCUAUAGAUAUUUCCAGUGUAAAACGUUAUCGGUCAAAAAUGAUAGUGGAAGUCUUGUACUUCCCGAUUUCGUACGAAUUUGAGGCAAACAUAUGUGUUGACUAAUAUAAUGGAAUGGACUUCCAUUGUCGAGGAAGUUACCACGUAAA
Oryza sativa Japonica Group (Japanese rice) is the source of this 814-nucleotide long non-coding RNA. RefSeq lists it as uncharacterized. The record is from RefSeq and is a predicted model, not a curated record. NCBI's taxonomy places the organism in Eukaryota, Viridiplantae, Streptophyta, Magnoliopsida, Poales, Poaceae.